CGGAGGGUGCAAGCGUUAUCCGGAUUCACUGGGUUUAAAGGGUGCGUAGGUGGGCAGGUAAGUCAGUGGUGAAAUCUCCGGGCUUAACCCGGAAACUGCCAUUGAUACUAUCUGUCUUGAAUACCCUGGAGGUGAGCGGAAUAUGUCAUGUAGCGGUGAAAUGCUUAGAUAUGACAUAGAACACCCAUUGCGAAGGCAGCUCACUACGGGAAUAUUGACACUGAGGCACGAAAGCGUGGGGACCAAACAGGAUUAGAUACCCUGGUAGUCCACGCCCUAAACUAUGGAUACUCGACAUCAGCGAUAAACUGUUGGUGUCUGAGCGAAAGCAUUAAGUAUCCCACCUGGGAAGUACGAUCGCAAGAUUG
Molecule: ribosomal RNA, 368 nt
Filed under: uncultured organism
Description: bacterial SSU rRNA
Rfam family: Bacterial small subunit ribosomal RNA
Source: RNAcentral